Molecule: unclassified non-coding RNA, 378 nt
Filed under: uncultured delta proteobacterium
Lineage: Bacteria; Deltaproteobacteria
Description: contains 16S-23S intergenic spacer region
Source: RNAcentral
UCUGGCUUAUAGCCAAGCGGUCUCACUAGAGUGCCCAACUCAAUGCUGGCAACUAGUGACGAGGGUUGCGCUCGUUGCGGGACUUAACCCAACAUCUCACAACACGAGCUGACGACAGCCAUGCAGCACCUGUCACCGCGUCCCCGAAGGGAACUCCCGCUUUCACGGGAUAGCGCGGGAUGUCAAGUCUAGGUAAGGUUCUUCGCGUAGCAUCGAAUUAAACCACAUGCUCCACCGCUUGUGCGGGCCCCCGUCAAUUCCUUUGAGUUUUAAUCUUGCGACCGUACUUCCCAGGCGGGACACUUAAUGCGUUAGCUUCGUUACCGACACAAUUAGGUAUGCCGACAACUAGUGUCCAUCGUUUAGGGCGUGGACUAC